Molecule: ribosomal RNA, 238 nt
Filed under: uncultured bacterium
Lineage: Bacteria
Description: partial 16S ribosomal RNA
Rfam family: Bacterial small subunit ribosomal RNA
Source: RNAcentral
CGGCGGACGGGUGAGUAACGCGUGGGUAACCUGCCUCAUACAGGGGGAUAACAGUUAGAAAUGACUGCUAAUACCGCAUAAGACCACAGCACCGCAUGGUGCGGGGGUAAAAACUCCGGUGGUAUGAGAUGGACCCGCGUCUGAUUAGCUAGUUGGUAAGGUAACGGCUUACCAAGGCGACGAUCAGUAGCCGACCUGAGAGGGUGACCGGCCACAUUGGGACUGAGGCACGGCCCAA